UUAAGAGCCAUAAUUUUAGAAAAUGCCCUUUUAUGAUCCACACUACCUCUUACAAAAUAGGCCUACUCCAACGUUCAUCUAGCUUUUGUGAAGUAUGAACUUCUACAACACUGCCUACAGAGUAC
Molecule: long non-coding RNA, 125 nt
Organism: Alosa sapidissima (American shad)
Lineage: Eukaryota; Metazoa; Chordata; Actinopteri; Clupeiformes; Clupeidae
Exons: 3
Source: RefSeq, a predicted model, not a curated record